Molecule: ribosomal RNA, 433 nt
Filed under: uncultured bacterium
Lineage: Bacteria
Description: partial 16S ribosomal RNA
Rfam family: Bacterial small subunit ribosomal RNA
Source: RNAcentral
AGCGAACGCUGGCGGCAGGCCUAACACAUGCAAGUCGAACGAACUCUUCGGAGUUAGUGGCGGACGGGUGAGUACCACGUGGGAACGUGCCUUUUGGUUCGGAAUAACUCAGGGAAACUUGUGCUAAUACCGCAUGUGCCCUUCGGGGGAAAGAUUUAUCGCCAUUAGAGCGGCCCGCGUCUGAUUAGCUAGUUGGUGAGGUAACGGCUCACCAAGGCGACGAUCAGUAGCUGGUAUGAGAGGAUGACCAGCCACAAUGGGACUGCGGCACGGCCCAGACUCGUACGGGAGGCAGCAGUAGGGAAUCUUGCGCAAUGGGCGAAAGCCUGACGCAGCCAUGCCGCGUGAAUGAUGAAGGUCUUAGGAUUGUAAAAUUCUUUCACCGGGGACGAUAAUGACGGUACCCGGAGAAGAAGCCCCGGCUAACUUCGUG